Salvia miltiorrhiza (redroot sage) is the source of this 1608-nucleotide long non-coding RNA. RefSeq lists it as uncharacterized. NCBI's taxonomy places the organism in Eukaryota, Viridiplantae, Streptophyta, Magnoliopsida, Lamiales, Lamiaceae. The transcript has 3 exons. The record is from RefSeq and is a predicted model, not a curated record.
CUAGAGGUAUUUAAAAAUCUAUGGAUUUUAAAAUUAGACUGGUUUUCAUUGAUUUCAUUCAAAAAAUACACACGAACAAAUCCGACCUCAAACCACGAGAUUUCGGAAAUCUUUAAUGUAAAGUAUAAUUUUUGAGUAUUUUUUUUUUCACCGAAUGUUAGUUAGCGGUCUACUGCAUCUUAGAUCCAAAGCAAAAUCGCCCAAAUUUCCAAAAUCCUGAAAAUCAAAAACCUUUUCACAUCUCUUCCCUUUAACUUUCUCUCACCACUCCUUCUCUCUUCACAUGUAUAAAAUGAGGGAAGAUGAAUUGAACAAAAUUGAAUUCAGUCUCCCGGCCAAUUAAUCCCCCUGCGGUCGGAGCAGCAUUUUUCAGAUCGCGGCGGCGCAGCCUCUCUCAGAUCUAAGCUGCGGAAUCGGAAACCGGUAUUGAAUUCUUCGACAGCGGGUUGAUAUCUAAGUCCAAAUGCAGCAAAUGUAUCGCUGGAACCCAGCGAUCGCGAGGAGUUGUCUUAGCGCUCAAUUAAUUCCAACGAGUGUUGGGAUGGUAGAUUUCAAGUCCGUAAAAAUCACGUCAAAUUCUUGUUAAAAUUCCUACAAAAUCCGUUCAAAAUCUAUUUAUAAUUCUAAAAUACAUGAAGAAUAUCUGUGUGAAAUCUGUAGAUUUUUAAAAUCUCUGAAUUUUUAAAAUCUAUUAAAAUCCUGAACGAAUACACCCCCUUAGAAUAUGUCGAGAUGAUAUCCAUGAGAUGCUAUUAAUUACGGAUCGGGCUCAUUUUUGUCCUUAUUUUUAUGUCGCAAAAGUAUUUAUUAUUAUUAUUAUUAUUAUUAUUAUUAUUAUUAUUAUUAUUAUUAUUAUUAUUAUUAUUAUAUAUUUGUUUUUAUCCAUCUAGUUUAUACACCAUAAGUAUUUUAAUUUGAUAAUUGUAAUGUAUUUUGAAUUAUUUCCAUACGUCCUUAUUUUUAUGUCGAAAAAAUCUUUAUUUCUUAAGAUACAAUUUGAGCUGGAUUAUGCCUUUGAUUUAUUGACAAUUGUAAAGCUUGUGCUUUUGUACCUUGUUGGCGUUGUGUUCAUUUCCGAUGUGUACAUUUCUUUUGUUCUUAAUGAUGAACUAUAAGAUGAGAAACGAGAUUAUAUUAAAAUUGUUUCAGAUUUGCAGUUAGCUCUUAGUUUAACGUAAGAGAAAUAUGAUAAAGGGUGGAUGUCCAAAAGUCGAUUAUCAAAAGAGUACGAAGAUGGAGUCGAAUCUUUCUUCAAUUUUGCAAUUACAAAUGGAAAAGAUCCUAACUCUAUGCCUUGGCCGUGUGUAAAGUGUGGGAGAGAUAUAGAUCUCGCACAACUGAUAAAGAUGAAGGGAGUACCAGUGAAGAUAUAUGAGGCUGAUCUUUUCUUCCUCUUCUGUGAAACAUUGAGUUGUUUGCCGCUAUCACAAUUUGAUCUUCAGUGGGUCAGAGCUUUGUCUCCUUCCCAUGUCUUAAAAUAUUUUUCUUAUUCAUGGUUUGUUUGACUAGAGGUCAAAGCAACUUUUUUUUUUUGAGGGAGAGGUCAAAGUAACUUUAUAUGAUGAUGAUUGCGUAAUACUUAUGAAUAGAUUGAGAUACUACUCUUUA